UACGAAGGGGGCUAGCGUUGCUCGGAAUCACUGGGCGUAAAGCGCACGUAGGCGGCUUCUUAAGUCAGGGGUGAAAUCCUGGAGCUCAACUCCAGAACUGCCUUUGAUACUGGGAAGCUUCGAGUCCGGAAGAGGUGAGUGGAACUGCGAGUGUAGAGGUGAAAUUCGUAGAUAUUCGCAAGAACACCAGUGGCGAAGGCGGCUCACUGGUCCGGUACUGACGCUGAGGUGCGAAAGCGUGGGGAGCGAACAGG
Molecule: ribosomal RNA, 254 nt
Filed under: uncultured bacterium
Lineage: Bacteria
Description: partial 16S ribosomal RNA
Rfam family: Bacterial small subunit ribosomal RNA
Source: RNAcentral